RNAcentral lists this ribosomal RNA (253 nucleotides) under uncultured bacterium. Its description in RNAcentral is "partial 16S ribosomal RNA". It matches the Rfam family "Bacterial small subunit ribosomal RNA", at positions 524 to 776 of the family's 1533-position model. The record is from RNAcentral.
UACGUAGGGGGCAAGCGUUGUCCGGAUUCAUUGGGCGUAAAGAGCGUGUAGGCGGCCAGGUAGGUCGGUUGUGAAAACUGGAGGCUCAACCUUCAGAGGUCGACCGAAACCAUCUGGCUAGAGUCCGGGAGAGGAGAGUGGAAUUCCUGGUGUAGCGGUGAAAUUCGUAGAUAUUAGGAAGAACACCAGUGGCGAAGGCGGCCCACUGGUCCGGUACUGACGCUGAGGUGCGAAAGCGUGGGGAGCAAACAGG